AAUAUUUAAGUAUUUUUACUAUUGCUUUUGAUUUUAAUGAUUAGCUUCAAUUUACAUGUAGAUUCAUAUAUUAAAAAGAAAGGAAAAAAAAAACCCAUACAAACAUUUAUUUGGAACUUUUAAGAAAUACCCUUAAAAGUACAAAUGUUUUUUAGCUCGUCCGAACUCAAAGUCUAAUUUAAUAUUUUUUUGGAAUUAUCUUGAUGUAUUACAGUUGAAAUCUAGUCUAAAAUCGGUUCAAAAUAAAGAAUAUAAGAAUCUUCCCCCUCUCCACACACAUUCUUGAAGAACCAAAGUUUGAAUCUCAAGAAUGAGAUGAUAAGAUGUCCACUAUUUGACUAAAAAGUGAUUUGCAACGUUUCUUCAAAGAAUAAUAAUAUGGACACAAACUCUUAUAUAAUUUUUUUUUAUCACCUACGGGAUAUGAACCCUCACGAGUGAAAGUUAAAAAUAAAAUUUCUUGUUGCAAUCCUAGAGCAAUUGUAGAUGCUUGGUGCGGCCCUUCGACAGGUGUAUUACCGGAAGUAGAUGCAGAAUGAAAGCCAGCAGAUGCAAAAUGAAAGCUAGCAGACUCAGAAUACGAAGUUUCACGAGUGCAAGAUGGAAAUAAAGUUUUUGGCUGCGACCCUAGUGUAAUUUGAGGAGUCUGGUGCAACCCUUGAGCAAUUGUAGUUUCUUGAGAGUAUGAUCCCAGAGGCUAAAAAACCGGCUUAUCCCUAAGUUUCCUGCUAAUUUUUUAAGCUAGGUAUUUGUUUACCUUCUUCUUUUUUCCGUGCGGCAUCAUCCCUAGGAGUCAUCACUAACAGAAGAUAGAAAGAGACAAGAAAAACAAAAUAUUACAACCUCCCAGUUGCAUAAAAAUUGUUAUGCUUAAAUAAAAUUCAUUUAGAGAUGGAAUAUUUGUAGAGGUAGAAGGGAUAAAGCCAAAGGCAGUUAGAAAGCCUGGUUAAGAAAGAUAUUUCCAGGACCGCAAGUCUAUAAGGUCUUUAAAAACUUCAUCAAUUUGAUGUUGCUCAACAUGGUCGAUAGAGGUGUAUCCCCAUGACACUGCAAAAAGAAAAAAAGACAAAGACAAAGAGUAAUUACGCUAAUAAAGAAAAAGCACACCCUGUAUCAAUUUUUUAUGAAGCUACCUGGAGUAGAAAAAUGGGUUUGAACCCAAUAUCCAGGACACAUAUCUGGAGAAUUUCCUAACUUCCAAUCCCCACGCGCGAAAAGCCAAGAAUCUUUCUAGGAACCAUCAUGAGAUUUGCCAUGUGCGAUUAAAGGGGAAGAUUUAGCCCAAGCACGGACAUAAUACCAACCCUUGAGGGAGGAGUUUUUUUAUCACCUGAAAGACUCAUUAGUUGGUAAUUUCUUUGAAACUGACUAAAUGUGGGAUCUAGAAAACCCCUCAAUUUGCAUAAGAUGUACAUGCUUAUCAUGGCACACCAGGCGCUGGGGGAAAGCUGUGCCAGGGCACAGUUCAAGCAUAUCAGUAUAUAUCUCAAUGAGGGGUGCAAGGGCAACCUAACAACAUAGCAAAAAAAAAUCAAGAUGAAAAGCAACGGCCCCAUAAGGGGGUUGGCUAGCGAGCUCACCAAUUUGAGGCUUCCUAAGCUCGAUUGAACUUGGAAUUUCAUACUUGACUCUAAGAGAUGGAAUGGAUUUCUCACAAAUUGCAUUCCCCACCCAAUAGACCCAAUCGGUUGGAAGCUAGGUUGACCAUCAGGAACAAAUGACACAUGAGCAAAAUUUAUGAUAAGAGGUGUUUGGUCAGAGGAUAUGUGGCAGUAAUCAUCAUCAUCUUCAAAGUACUCAUAUAAAGAGGGUUAGAGUUAUUUUCAGAAUCAGAAGACAUUGAAAUUGUUAAAAACAUGAGGAAGAGAAGAGACACUCACCGAGUUAAGCGAGAACCAAAUGGUUGAAACUCCACGAGGUGAGUAAAUGUGCAAAA
This 1936-nucleotide long non-coding RNA is filed under the name Citrus sinensis (sweet orange). RNAcentral describes it as "long non-coding RNA (CSIN_LNC003537)". The record is from RNAcentral. Lineage: Eukaryota; Viridiplantae; Streptophyta; Magnoliopsida; Sapindales; Rutaceae.